Molecule: transfer RNA, 67 nt
Filed under: Marmota monax (woodchuck)
Lineage: Eukaryota; Metazoa; Chordata; Mammalia; Rodentia; Sciuridae
Description: tRNA.Val
Source: RNAcentral
GGUUGUGGCUCAGUGGUUGAGUGCUUGCCCUACAUGCGUGAGGCACUGGGUUGGAUCCUCAGCACCA